RNAcentral lists this ribosomal RNA (885 nucleotides) under Triticum aestivum (bread wheat). Its description in RNAcentral is "partial small subunit ribosomal RNA". The record is from RNAcentral. Lineage: Eukaryota; Viridiplantae; Streptophyta; Magnoliopsida; Poales; Poaceae.
AUGGGUCUAAAUUCAACUUAUGUGUUGAAAAUCAAAUUGCUUGGCAACAAAAAAAAGGCUAGAAGGGAUAUAAACUACUUUUGUUUUCAUAAGGUUAUUGAUUCCGACUUAACAAAUUAUAAGGACUUGGUUGAAUCAAUCGCAGAGCAGUACUGGCCUUGUUAUUUGGAAGUUGCACAUGUUCAGUACUAUGAUAAUUUUCUUAAAAUCUACCCUGAAGUAACAUCUGACCAAGAAUUAGUGUCUAUGCUUGAAAAACACUCUAAGACAAAGGUUGUGCACAUGUUUGUUGCAUAUCAUGAUCCAUCAGAACCAUACGAGCCUAUCACGGAGUGGCAUAGUGAUGUGCAUAGCCAACCUAACAACAUAGGACAAGAUGAUUAUUAUUAUCUUCGCAACCCAGUACCUGAGAAUGAGCAUGUUGGUGUUUAUGAGGAAAAUAUUUAUUUAGAGGAUGAACCUGUAUCUCUUAUCAUAAUUCCUUGUUCCAAUAAAGAAAAGGACAAAGACUAUGUUCCUAAUCAUGAGAGCGAGGCUGAGAGUGAGGAUGGGAGAGACGAUGAGAGUAUGGCAGAGGUUGAAGUAGAGGAAGAUGAGGAAUAUCACGAGGGAGAUCAUGCACCACACUUUGAAUAUGAUAAACUAGUUCCUCCAAUGAACGAAGGAAGAAACUAUCCCAAUAUGGCAGAGUUUAAAUUGGCGCUUUCUCAACAUGCAAUCAAACAUGAAUUUGAGUUUGACACCGAAAAGAGUGCACCAUGUAGAGGACCACCAAAAAAUAGGGCAAAGACCACCAAAGCAUCAAUUGUGCCUUGCGACGAUGAUGCUCCAAUAGCCUUUAUGUGCUUUCCGCCAAGGUUAGCCACUUUACACUCAUGCUCAUAA